RNAcentral lists this ribosomal RNA (303 nucleotides) under Triticum aestivum (bread wheat). Its description in RNAcentral is "partial small subunit ribosomal RNA". Lineage: Eukaryota; Viridiplantae; Streptophyta; Magnoliopsida; Poales; Poaceae. The record is from RNAcentral.
AUGUUUUUGCAGUUCAGAGACAGAGGUAGUAGCUUAUAUUUUGGGUUAUAUGUAGAAGCUCCAUGCAAAUUUACAGCUUGGUACAUGACAAAAGAUGGUGAAAAGUUAUCCAAGAUGCUGGGACAUAUCUUGACCUCACAAAAAUCUCUGGAAGUAAUGCUUCUUGGAGAUGAUAUUUGCUUCCGACAACUUGCCAAAAGAAGUAUCAAGUUGUAUAAUGGUGGAGCCAUUGUUUAUAAGGCGGUAAAGCGACCUAAGGCGAGCAUCACCGCUCUGACGCCGAAGCGGCCCCUAAGCGCCUAA